GGGGCCACCAAUUUUAGUGAAUUGGUAAGAAUGCACUGGACUUACAUGGUCUCAAGGAGUCGUGGUCUGACCCAGUUGACACCCUUUGGAGUCAAAAGUCACCCAGAAUUAGGGGAGCAGAAACAACAUGUGAUUUGGUUUGCAGAGGCGGGUGGAGCUCAGAGAGGCAGAGAAGAUGAGGACAGUUCACGGGAGGCCCACCUGCACUUCCUCAAUUAACUCCAUCAGAUUCCCUAAUCCCUUUCAAGAAAACUCCUUCUCACUUGCAUUUUUUGAAUGGGCUUCUAUUUAUUACAACCAAAAUAGCCCUGACUGAAAUUUACAAGCAUGUCUUACCCACCAGACUGGGACACCAUCUGCAGUCCUAGCAUCUAGUGUGGUUCUAGAUCAAUAGCUGAUUGUUAAGAGUUGAAUGAAUGAAUGAAUGAAUGAACCAAUGAAGGGACAAACAACACAGUCAGGCCUGUCCAGGCCCUCACCCUUUGCCAGCGUCCCUGCAUUCAGCCUCAGUCACUUCCCCUGGCCCCUGGUGGUCUUUUGGUUGGAAGAAUCCUCCCCUACACAUCCCAGGAUCCCAAAAGGCCAGAGGAAAAGAAGUCAGUUGAGUUACAGAGCCUGGAGUUCCCAACACACAGGGAUGUUGAGAAAGAAACUGCAGAUGGCCAAAGCAUCAUCACAGAAGACACGGUUAACCCAGGGAGGCUGGCUGUUUCCAGGGCACAGGAAAGGGCACCUGCUUUGUCGAUGAGCCAAACAACGUGCUGCCGAUGCCUUACACAAGGCAUCCUGUGCAGGUCCUGAGCCUACUGGCCCUCAGCCACUUCCCCUGCCAGCCGCAUUUCCCAGCCUCCUGCUGGGUGGGUCCAGCCAAUGGAGGCAGUGGUGGGAGAUUGGAGGGUGAGAGACAGGGAGAAGCUGAGCUAUUUCUCCUCCUCCCUCUCUGCCUCAGAUAGCACCCCGGCAAGAGCUGUGUGUGGCCACUGGACCAGCCCCCUGUGGGUCGAGCCCCCACCUGAUGACCUGACCCCUGGGCUUCAGUAACACCACCUCCUCCCUGCAGCCCCCCAGCUCACAGUUGUGUUCCUGCUGGUCUCUGGAUUGCCUCGCCCUCCCCCACUUGGCCUCCAAGCUCUGCCCUCACUUGUGUAACCAAUUCCCUGUAUUAAAGUAGCUCUGUUUGAAGUUCUCCAGGGGUUUCCAUUCCCUAGCCAAACCCGUGUGGUUGGUAUUAUUUCCGGGCUGCAAUGAGAAAACAAAACUGCAAGGAGAAGUAACUUGCCUCUGGUUAUACCGCUAGUAAGUGGCAAAGCUGCAUUUGAAGCCAGCUCUGUCUGACUCAAAGGCCACGUUUCAUCUGCACACCCCCUUCCACUGCCCUUGGGCAGCCAUCCACCCUCUAGGGGAGCUGGCCUCAGUUCCACCUGUACUGGUGCUGCCUUAGGAAGGGCUCCUAGCCCCCUCUGGAUGGGAGACGCCAGGCAAUUUAGCAGCUGUUUCCAGGCACCGUGUUAAGCCCAGACACGUGGCCCCAGUCCGAAGCUCUGUUCCUAAUGUUGGAAAAUGUUUGCCCUGUUUCUUUCCUGCAGACCGUGAGAACAGGCUGUUCCAACGAGACUUGAAAAGCUGCCUUUGGUGGACUGACUUCCCGGUCCCCUCAAAGAAUGUCAGUCCUGAGGGUCUGUAAUCCUCUCACUCCCAAAGUAAGAGGCUGGACUCCCCCAGAGGCUGACACUGAGACGAGGAUAUGAGUGGAAGUCGUUCCUUUGAGAGCCUCCCUCCCACUUGGCCACGCCCAGCCAGAGGCCUGAGGACCGCAGCGUGUAGGAGCCAGAACCGCGGAGGAAAAAGGCCAGGGGUGAAGCUGAGGCUCACGCACAUCCCCAGUCAUUACGAACCGUCAUGCGCUUUACAGAAGGGACCACAUUCUCAUACCUGUGAACGCUCCCUUACUUGUUAAACUAAAAAAAUAUAUCCUCCUCGUCAUUCCCCUCAAAUAAUCCUUUUGUACAACGGUACAGUCAUUUUUCUCGUUUGCAGAUUGUCAGGAGCUCAGGGUCUUUCAUGUAUUUGCUCUAAUGAGUCACAUUAUUAGAUGGUCAAAUUGUCAGACUUGUCGUGUGAACACCUUUAGGAUGCCCCUGGCAUCCUUGAAAGCAUUCUUCCUUUCUGGCGACUGUAAAGAUGAUCCAGAACUUUCUGUCCUGAUUUCCUCUUGCCUCAACACAAGAAAUCUGUGGAGUCCUGAUUCCAUUAAUAGAGAACAAGUGUUAAAGAUCAAAAUCCGGGCUGGGUGCGGUAGCUCACGCCUGUAAUCCCAGGACUUUGGGAGGCCGAGAUGGGCAGGUCACCUGAGGUCAGGAGUUCGAGACAAGCCUGGCCAACAUGAUGAAACCCUGUCUCUACUAAAAAUACAAAAAUUACAUGGGCAUGGUGGCGGGAGCCUGUAAUCCCAGCUACUCGGGAGGCUGAGCCAGGAGAAUCGCUUGAACCCGGGAGGUGGAGGUUGCAAUGGGCCAAGAUCGCGUCAGUGCACUCCAGCCUGGGCAUCAAGAGCAAGACUCCAUCUCAAAAAAAAAAAAAAUCAAAAUCUGGCUGCACUGGGACUUACUCCUGGUAGUGACAAAGCUGGAACAUUUCUUUUUGAGAUUAUGAAUUUAUAUAGAUAGUUUCAAUUCAGCAUAAUGCCUCUCUGAACUUCACUUUAAAAAAACAUAUAGGUUAUCAUUUCCAUGAUCAAGACUUUUGGUUCCCCAACAGGACCAAGGCGGCUUGAGGAAGAAUCAAGGGUAGUAUCGGCUUCAGGAAGUAACAAAGCACAGGCAGGGUCCUCUGCGAAGUGAUGCAGAUGAAACCCCAGGAAUGAAUGACACGCUCAGUACCUGCCAGGCACCGCUCUGAGAACUUCAUCCGCAUUAUGUUACUUAAUCAUCACGGCCCCCUGCCAGGAGGAUCAUUAUGCCUGCUUUACAGAAAAGACUUACAGGUUAAAGUGCCUAAGGUCCUGCAGUCUCCAAACCUGGCCAAUCCACCCGCAGAGCCCAUGCUCUGAACCACCGCACCACAUGGCCAGGUGAGGGCCGUCUCGGUCCCCAAAUGAGCCGCCUACGCAUACACUGCCAAGCCUUUGCCCACGCUGUUGGCUCUCCCCUGCUGUGCUUGGAACGCCUACUUGACCUUCAAAUUCCAGCCUGAGUCCUCCACCUCCUCUGUGCUCCUGACUCCUUGUGCAUCUCCACACACAUUAGAGCUGUGUGUGUGUGUGUGUGUCCCUCAGGGCACACACGCAAGGGCAGGUUCUGCGCUUCAUUCAUUUGCAUCCACACUGCACAGUGCCUGACACACAGAUGGUGCUCAAGACAUACUUGAUGAAGGAAGAAAGAGGGAAACCUGGAUCUCAGGUAGCUCAGGGAAAUGCUUCUAUCACCUGGCACGAGCUGAGGGAUCCCCGCUCCCGCCUGUCAUUUUAUAUUUAUUAAAAGGGACCUACCCCGUCUCCUGCUCCAUGCAGCACCUUAAAUAUUAGGUGGCUGCUUUUCUCAAAAUGAGAGUCUUUCCUGCUAAGGAAAACAAUAGCCUGAUUUGCUCCUGUCCUCAAGAUUUCUGGUAACAAUCUCAGAGGUCAGCGAGGAAAACUGGAGUGGGGUAGAGGGCCAAGGACUUAUAGUCUCCUUCAGGGGCUUGGGGGCUUGGGAGAAACCCCACAAACCCAGCAGGCUCUUGCUGGCUGGCUGGCUGAUGAUCAUGCCCUCUCUCUCUCUCUUUCUCUCUGUCUGUCUCUCUCUCUCUCUUUCUCCCUCUCUGUCUCUCUCUCUCUCUCCUACUCCCUCUUCCCCUCCACUUCUCUCUUUGUACCUCUUGCCCUCCUUCUUCUGUUUUCUCUCUCUCUCUCUCUCUCUCACACACACACACACACACACACAGACACACACACACAAACACACACACACACACAUAGAGCCUUGGUAACUAGUGGUUACAAAAAAAGCCCAAAUUCAGCCACAGCCACACUCCGUCAAAUGAGAAAUCCUCUGCUAAUACACGGGCAUGACAAGUUUCUUCCAAAGCAUCUCAUAUGCGUUGCUGUGCAGUCGCCAGUGAACGUGAGUCCAGCCGCCUGCACCACCGCCUUCCCGUGCGUAUGCCUCGGAGCAUUGUUCGUCAGGAUUCCUCAGAUGGAAAAGUUGUGAACAUUUGGGCAGUGCCAGGGCUGGCGUUGCAGAGCCUGCUUUAAUGAGUGCAUAAUUAACACCGUGGGCUUCUGCCAAUGGCCAGCACUUAAGUCCUUGAAAACAGUCUGUUCCCUGAAAUAGGUUAAACGCCCCUCCACCGCCACUGCUACCUCGUUUACACCACUGACUCAGCCACAAUGCCUAUAUAUGUGAAGAAAAAAAUCCCCAAAGAAAUUAUUAGUGUUGGCAUAGCAACAAUAUGUUAAUUGUGUCUUUCCUAAAGCAGGCCCAGCAGGACCACCACCCGGGGUUGGUCCAGUUUCUGUGCACUUUAAAAUAGAAGAAAACUGCACUCUUCUGACUAGGUGCUGUAUUGCAGAAUCUCCCCACCAUGUAACCCAAGUUAAUAAGGUUUAGGUGAUUUUUUAAUGCCUCCAUGCUAAAAUAGAAAAAAAAAAAAAAAAAAAAGCUAAGACUUGAUCCAUAAAACUAUCUUGAUGUCAAGACAUUGAACAGAAAAAAGAUCAUUGUUGUCUGCCUUGGUCCUCCACCCCCGUAACUUCUCUGAUGCAUCUCUGAAGCCUAACUACUCAAUGAAGGAGGGCUCCUGAAUUUGCGGAGGUGAACAGCUUAUGACCAUUAUUACACUUUGGGGUGCAAACGAUAAAGAUCCCAACUCAAAUGAGCUAACCAGGAAAGAAGAGUGUUGGCUGCUUAGAAGGACAUCCAGAUGGGGGCUUCGGGCUAGUGGACUGCACAGUUUGAGGCUGUAACUAAGGGCUUGGCUGUUUUCCAGGUCUCUGUUCUUCCAUUCUCAGUACUGAUGGCAGAAGACUGGGCCCCUAUGAGCACCACUACUAGCAUCCCAGCAAAGGAGGAGAGAGAAACAGAGACAGAGGGAGAGGGACAGAAACAGAGAGAUAAGGAGAGCCAGAGAGAGAAGGGAUCUGGCUUCUCAUCCCUCCACAAAUGGAAGAACAUUUUCCCAGAGACUUUCAGCAAACCACUUCCUGCAUCUCAUUUUAUGGCAGAAUCAGGUCACACAUGCCCAUUCCAGAACUAGUCAGUAGCAAGGAAGAUGGGAUUAUUCUCCCCGGCACCGGAGCACUCCUUGAACUGAAGGUGAUUGUUCAAACUAAAGUCCUACUGUCCCCUGUGCCAGGGGCGGACUGGGCAUUGGAGAGGCCACUGCUGUGUUCACCACAUGAGCACAUAUAUUCUACCACUCUUGCCUCCAGCUAGUCAGGCUCAAGCUUGGGCUCACUCACAAGGGAGCCCACAAAGCAGUGGGAGCUUCAGAGGACGGAGUCCAGUGAUCCUCCUUUCGCGUGGGGAAGUGGCAAAUCCACUCUUUAACACGGCUCUUUAAUUCUCAGGGAUGACGGGUGAGCCUCUCUGGGCAGGAGCACUGGG
This 5582-nucleotide long non-coding RNA is filed under the name Homo sapiens (human). RNAcentral describes it as "HSALNT0214832". The record is from RNAcentral. Lineage: Eukaryota; Metazoa; Chordata; Mammalia; Primates; Hominidae.